GAUGAACGCUGGCGGCGUGCCUAAUACAUGCAAGUCGAGCGAACGGACGAGAAGCUUGCUUUUCUGAUGUUAGCGGCGGACGGGUGAGUAACACGUGGAUAACCUACCUAUAAGACUGGGAUAACUUCGGGAAACCGGAGCUAAUACCGGAUAAUAUUUUGAACCGCAUGGUUCAAAAGUGAAAGACGGUCUUGCUGUCACUUAUAGAUGGAUCCGCGCUGCAUUAGCUAGUUGGUAAGGUAACGGCUUACCAAGGCAACGAUGCAUAGCCGACCUGAGAGGGUGAUCGGCCACACUGGAACGGAGACACGGUCCAGACUCCUACGGGAGGCAGCAGUAGGGAAUCUUCCGCAAUGGGCGAAAGCCUGACGGAGCAACGCCGCGUGAGGGAUGAAGGUCUUCGGAUCGUAAAACUCUGUUAUUAGGGAAGAACAUAUGUGUAAGUAACUGUGCACAUCUUGACGGUACCUAAUCAGAAAGCCACGGCUAACUACGUG
RNAcentral lists this ribosomal RNA (497 nucleotides) under uncultured bacterium. RNAcentral describes it as "partial 16S ribosomal RNA". It matches the Rfam family "Bacterial small subunit ribosomal RNA", at positions 28 to 507 of the family's 1533-position model. The record is from RNAcentral.